UAGCCCAGAAGUAUGGAAAGUC
Molecule: microRNA, 22 nt
Filed under: Euprymna scolopes
Lineage: Eukaryota; Metazoa; Mollusca; Cephalopoda; Sepiida; Sepiolidae
Description: Esc-Mir-12533_3p (mature (co-guide))
Source: RNAcentral